CACCCGUAGCUCAGCUGGAUAGAGCGCUGCCCUCCGAAGGCAGAGGCCACAGGUUCGAAUCCUGUCGGGUGCGCCAU
This 77-nucleotide transfer RNA is filed under the name Brucella melitensis M5-90. RNAcentral describes it as "tRNA-Arg". It matches the Rfam family "tRNA". From Rfam's summary of the family: Transfer RNA (tRNA) molecules are approximately 80 nucleotides in length. Their secondary structure includes four short double-helical elements and three loops (D, anti-codon, and T loops). Further hydrogen bonds mediate the characteristic L-shaped molecular structure. tRNAs have two regions of fundamental functional importance: the anti-codon, which is responsible for specific mRNA codon recognition, and the 3' end, to which the tRNAs corresponding amino acid is attached (by aminoacyl-tRNA synthetases). tRNAs cope with the degeneracy of the genetic code in two manners: having more than one tRNA (with a specific anti-codon) for a particular amino acid; and 'wobble' base-pairing, i.e. permitting non-standard base-pairing at the 3rd anti-codon position. The record is from RNAcentral. Lineage: Bacteria; Pseudomonadati; Pseudomonadota; Alphaproteobacteria; Hyphomicrobiales; Brucellaceae.